Molecule: ribosomal RNA, 1500 nt
Filed under: metagenome
Description: bacterial SSU rRNA
Rfam family: Bacterial small subunit ribosomal RNA
Source: RNAcentral
GAGUUUGAUCAUGGCUCAGAUUGAACGCUGGCGGCAGGCCUAACACAUGCAAGUCGAACGGUAACAGGAAGCAGCUUGCUGCUCCGCUGACGAGUGGCGGACGGGUGAGUAAUGUCUGGGAAGCUGCCUGAUGGAGGGGGAUAACUACUGGAAACGGUAGCUAAUACCGCAUAAUGUCGCAAGACCAAAGAGGGGGACCUUCGGGCCUCUUGCCAUCGGAUGUGCCCAGAUGGGAUUAGCUUGUUGGUGGGGUAACGGCUCACCAAGGCGACGAUCCCUAGCUGGUCUGAGAGGAUGACCAGCCACACUGGAACUGAGACACGGUCCAGACUCCUACGGGAGGCAGCAGUGGGGAAUAUUGCACAAUGGGCGCAAGCCUGAUGCAGCCAUGCCGCGUGUAUGAAGAAGGCCUUCGGGUUGUAAAGUACUUUCAGCGGGGAGGAAGGGAGUAAAGUUAAUACCUUUGCUCAUUGACGUUACCCGCAGAAGAAGCACCGGCUAACUCCGUGCCAGCAGCCGCGGUAAUACGGAGGGUGCAAGCGUUAAUCGGAAUUACUGGGCGUAAAGCGCACGCAGGCGGUUUGUUAAGUCAGAUGUGAAAUCCCCGGGCUCAGCCUGGGAACUGCAUCUGAUACUGGCAAGCUUGAGUCUCGUAGAGGGGGGGUAGAAUUCCAGGUGUAGCGGUGAAAUGCGUAGGGAUCUGGAGGAAUACCGGUGGCGAAGGCGGCCCCCUGGACGAAGACUGACGCUCAGGUGCGAAAGCGUGGGGAGCAAACAGGAUUAGAUACCCUGGUAGUCCACGCCGUAAACGAUGUCGACUUGGAGGUUGUGCCCUUGAGGCGUGGCUUCCGGAGCUAACGCGUUAAGUCGACCGCCUGGGGAGCACGGCCGCAAGGUUAAAACUCAAAUGAAUUGACGGGGGCCCGCACAAGCGGUGGAGCAUGUGGUUUAAUUCGAUGCAACGCGAAGAACCUUACCUGGUCUUGACAUCCACGGAAGUUUUCAGAGAUGAGAAUGUGCCUUCGGGAACCGUGAGACAGGUGCUGCAUGGCUGUCGUCAGCUCGUGUUGUGAAAUGUUGGGUUAAGUCCCGCAACGAGCGCAACCCUUAUCCUUUGUUGCCAGCGGUCCGGCCGGGAACUCAAAGGAGACUGCCAGUGAUAAACUGGAGGAAGGUGGGGAUGACGUCAAGUCAUCAUGGCCCUUACGACCAGGGCUACACACGUGCUACAAUGGCGCAUACAAAGAGAAGCGACCUCGCGAGAGCAGGCGGACCUCAUAAAGUGCGUCGUAGUCCGGAUUGGAGUCUGCAACUCGACUCCAUGAAGUCGGAAUCGCUAGUAAUCGUGGAUCAGAAUGCCACGGUGAAUACGUUCCCGGGCCUUGUACACACCGCCCGUCACACCAUGGGAGUGGGUUGCAAAAGAAGUAGGUAGCUUAACCUUCGGGAGGGCGCUUACCACUUUGUGAUUCAUGACUGGGGUGAAGUCGGAACAAGGUA